Molecule: ribosomal RNA, 494 nt
Filed under: uncultured bacterium
Lineage: Bacteria
Description: partial 16S ribosomal RNA
Rfam family: Bacterial small subunit ribosomal RNA
Source: RNAcentral
UGGGGAAUAUUGCACAAUGGGCGAAAGCCUGAUGCAGCAACGCCGCGUGAGUGAUGAAGGCCUUCGGGUUGUAAAGCUCUGUACUUUUGGGACGAUAAUGACGGUACCAAAGGAGGAAGCCACGGCUAACUACGUGCCAGCAGCCGCGGUAAUACGUAGGUGGCAAGCGUUGUCCGGAUUUACUGGGCGUAAAGGAUGCGUAGGCGGAUUUUUAAGUGAGAUGUGAAAUACCCGGGCUUAACUUGGGUGCUGCAUUUCAAACGGGAAUCUAGAGUGCGGGAGAGGAGAAUGAAUUCCUAGUGUAGCGGUGAAAUGCGUAGAGAUUAGGAAGAACACCAGUGGCGAAAGGCGAUUCUCUGGACCGUAACUGACGCUGAGGCAUGAAAGCGUGGGUAGCAAACAGGAUUAGAUACCCUGGUAGUCCACGCCGUAAACGAUGAGUACUAGGUGUAGGAGGUAUCGACCCCUUCUGUGCCGCAGUUAACACAAUAAGU